UACGCUGGUGGAGAGAAGAGGUCGUCGUCGAUUACGUCGAGAAAAACGCCGGGAAUCGUCGUCGCACGAUAAGUCGCCUCUCACGGUGAAACCCUAGUUUUUUCAGAGAAAGGGGAAAAUGAGAAGAAACAAGGAGUGGCCCGACUUUCCUCCUCGUCAACGCGGAACGCUUGACCAACCAGCGUACGCCGCGUGGCAACAUCCGCCCCUUACGGGUUCAUGCGCAAGGCCCGUUUCAUCAAACUUAUCGAAUUUUUAUUUUUUUUUUAAACCAGCGGGCCUAAGAUUUCGAGCCCACGAACCUCUUAUAAACCGCUAAUGCGGAUGGUCUUA
RNAcentral lists this long non-coding RNA (333 nucleotides) under Brassica napus (rape). RNAcentral describes it as "long non-coding RNA (BNAP_LNC002381)". Lineage: Eukaryota; Viridiplantae; Streptophyta; Magnoliopsida; Brassicales; Brassicaceae. The record is from RNAcentral.